Cordylochernes scorpioides is the source of this 73-nucleotide non-coding RNA. The record is from the annotation of a GenBank genome assembly. Lineage: Eukaryota; Metazoa; Arthropoda; Arachnida; Pseudoscorpiones; Chernetidae.
GUCCAGGGAUGGGAAUCGAACCCACAAUGUUCCGCUUACCGGGCAGAUGUCAUGUCCACUAGGCUACCCUGGA